GUAUCGAAGUGAGUGUGUGUAAGAGUAUCAAAGUGAGUGUGUGUUAAGAGUAUCAAAGUGAGUGUGUGUUAGUGUAUUAAAGUGAGUGUGUGUUAGUGUAUUAAAGUGAGUGUGUGUUAGUUGUAUUAAAGUGAGUGUUGUUAGUGUAUUAAAGUGAGUGUGUGUUAGUGUAUUAAAGUGAGUGUGUGUUAGUGUAUAAAGUGAGUGUGUGUUAGUGUAUUAAAGUGAGUGUGUGUUAAGAGUAUCAAAUGUAGUGUGUGUUAGUGUAUUAAAGUGAGUGUGUGUUAGUGUAUUAAAGUGAGUGUGUGUUAGUAGUAUCAAAGUGAGUGUGCGUUAGAGUAUUGAAGUGUGUGUUCGUUAGAGCAGCGGUCCCCAACUCUUUUGUUUUUGCGCCACGGACCGGUUUAAUAUCAGACAAUAUUUUCACGGACCGGACGUCAAGGUGUGGUGGAUAAAUACAACAAAAUAAAAUGAUACCGGCAUA
Molecule: long non-coding RNA, 484 nt
Organism: Ictalurus punctatus (channel catfish)
Lineage: Eukaryota; Metazoa; Chordata; Actinopteri; Siluriformes; Ictaluridae
Source: Ensembl